RNAcentral lists this ribosomal RNA (259 nucleotides) under uncultured Oscillospiraceae bacterium. Its description in RNAcentral is "partial 16S ribosomal RNA". It matches the Rfam family "Bacterial small subunit ribosomal RNA", at positions 81 to 339 of the family's 1533-position model. The record is from RNAcentral. Lineage: Bacteria; Bacillati; Bacillota; Clostridia; Eubacteriales; Oscillospiraceae.
UAUUGGAGCGGUUAGUGGCGGACUGGUGAGUAACACGUAAGCAACCUGCCUAUCAGAGGGGAACAACAGUUAGAAAUGACUGCUAAUACCGCAUAUGCCUUAGAAUCACAUGGUUCAGAAGGGAAAGGAGCAAUCCGCUGAUAGAUGGGCUUGCGUCUGAUUAGAUAGUUGGUGAGGUAACGGCCCACCAAGUCGACGAUCAGUAGCCGGACUGAGAGGUUGAACGGCCACAUUGGGACUGAGACACGGCCCAGACUCC